RNAcentral lists this ribosomal RNA (490 nucleotides) under uncultured bacterium. RNAcentral's name for it is "partial 16S ribosomal RNA". It matches the Rfam family "Bacterial small subunit ribosomal RNA", at positions 30 to 507 of the family's 1533-position model. The record is from RNAcentral.
AUUGAACGCUGGCGGCAGGCCUAACACAUGCAAGUCGAACGGUAACAGGAAGAUGCUUGCUUCUUUGCUGACGAGUGGCGGACGGGUGAGUAAUGUCUGGGAAACUUCCUGAUGGAGGGGGAUAACUACUGGAAACGGUAGCUAAUACCGCAUAACGUCGCAAGACCAAAGAGGGGGACCUUCGGGCCUCUUGCCUUCGGAUGUGCCCAGAUGGGAUUAGCUAGUAGGUGGGGUAACGGCUCACCUAGGCGACGAUCCCUAGCUGGUCUGAGAGGAUGACCAGCCACACUGGAACUGAGACACGGUCCAGACUCCUACGGGAGGCAGCAGUGGGGAAUAUUGCACAAUGGGCGAAAGCCUGAUGCAGCCAUGCCGCGUGUAUGAAGAAGGCCUUCGGGUUGUAAAGUACUUUCAGCGGGGAGGAAGGGAGUAAAGUUAAUACCUUUGCUCAUUGACGUUACCCGCAGAAGAAGCACCGGCUAACUCCGUG